Molecule: unclassified non-coding RNA, 388 nt
Filed under: uncultured bacterium
Lineage: Bacteria
Description: contains 16S-23S intergenic spacer region
Source: RNAcentral
UCCUGGUUUCCCAGGCAGUCCCACCAGAGUGCUUCAUCCGAAGAUGAGUGGCAACUGGCAGUAGGGGUUGCGCUCGUUAGAGGACUUAACCCAACAUCUCACGACACGAGCUGACGACAGCCAUGCAGCACCUGUGAAUCUGUCUAGACCGAAGCCUAGAAGACCAUAUCUCUAUGGUUGUCAGAAACAUGUCAAGCCCAGGUAAGGUUCCUCGCGUAGUGUCGAAUUAAACCACAUGUUCCACCGCUUGUGCGGACCCCCGUCAAUUUCUUUAAGUUUUAGUCUUGCGACCGUAAUCCCCAGGCGAAUCACUUAACGCGUUAGCUUCGACACUAAUCCGGCAAAGCCAGACUAACAUCUAGUGAUCAUCGUUUACGGCGUGGACUAC